GCCAGCAGCCGCGGUAAUAUCAGCUCCCGGAGGCUAUACGUACGUUGUUGCGGUUAAAAAGUUCGUAGUUGGAUUACGGUAUGGAUGCAUAUUGGAUCGGAGAAGGCGUACACUCUGUAUGUAUAAAUUAUAAACAUGAAUAUUUUUAUAAUAUAAUUGUUUAUAAAUUAUAUUAAGAGAAAGUAUGUCAUGCUACUUGAGCUAAUAUGUGGACGUACUUUUGUCGUGAAAUAUUAUUUGUAAAAAAAUAAUAUUUUUGCGAAAUGUGCCUUGAAUAAAAUAGAGUGCUCAAAGCAGGUGUCAAUGUAUUGCGUGCACAUAUUUUAAUAUUUAAUAUAUGUUAUAUUUAUAUACAUUAUUAAAACAUUAUAUACAUGCGCGUAUACUUAUUGCUCGAAUACUCUAGCAUGGAACGAAUGUCCGAUUGCUUAAUAACCCUACUGUAAAGUUUGUUGGUAAUUAUUAAAAUAAUGUAAAUUAUUUUAAUUUUCUUUACAGUGUGCUUGUGUAGCGCAAUAAUAUAAGUACGAAAGUCUUAAUUAUUGGUGCGGGUAUUUGUUGUGUAUAUAGUAAUAUUAAUUUGUCAAUGCAAUGCAUGUUAUAAAAGCAUACAAGAUGUGGGCGAACCCUGCAUAAUAGAUAUGUACAUAUGCUAUAAUUAGCAAUUCCACAGUUGUUGAAAAAAUAUAAUUGUGCGUAAUUAGCUAAUAAUAGGUAUGGAAAUCAUAUGCAUGAGAGGGUGUAGGCAUAUCAGUUAUAUUUUAUGUAUAACAAUUGUAUGUAUAAUUAUUUAUAAUAAGUGUUAGUAUUGAUAUUAAUAUUAUGUUAUUUGAAAGAAUAACACAUUGCUAUAUACUUUCACAUAUGUUUAAUAAAUAUAUGUGCUCAAAUAUGCGUGCAUUAGCUAUGCAGCGGGGGUAUCGGUUAACAGGAGCAUUUGGGGGCAUUAAUAUUUGACCGCGAGAGGUGAAAUUCAUAGACCGGUCAAAGACUAACAAUUGCGAAAGCAUUUGCCAAGAAUGUUUUCAUUAAUCAAGAACGAUAGUUGGAGGAUCGAAGACGAUCAGAUACCGUCGUAGUUCCAACUGUAAACUAUGCCAACUGGGGCUGAGUUUGGAUCGUAUUGGAUCCAAGUUGGGCCCCCGGGGAAACCUGAAGUUUUUGGGUUCCGGGGGGAGUAUGGUUGCAAGGCUGAAACUUAAAGGAAUUGACGG
Molecule: ribosomal RNA, 1214 nt
Filed under: Sphaerospora sp. 3 RT_2
Lineage: Eukaryota; Metazoa; Cnidaria; Myxozoa; Bivalvulida; Sphaerosporidae
Description: partial small subunit ribosomal RNA
Rfam family: Eukaryotic small subunit ribosomal RNA (bases 664-1214)
Source: RNAcentral